ACCCGCUGAACUUAAGCAUAUCAAUAAGCGGAGGAAAAGAAACCAACAGGGAUUGCCUUAGUAACGGCGAGUGAAGCGGCAACAGCUCAAAUUUGAAAUCUGGCCUCUUUGGGGUCCGAGUUGUAAUUUGCAGAGGGCGCUUUGGCGUUGGCAGCGGUCCAAGUUCCUUGGAACAGGACGUCACAGAGGGUGAGAAUCCCGUACGUGGUCGCUAGCCUUCGCCGUGUAAAGCCCCUUCGACGAGUCGAGUUGUUUGGGAAUGCAGCUCUAAAUGGGAGGUAAAUUUCUUCUAAAGCUAAAUACUGGCCAGAGACCGAUAGCGCACAAGUAGAGUGAUCGAAAGGUGAAAAGCACUUUGGAAAGAGAGUCAAACAGCACGUGAAAUUGUUGAAAGGGAAGCGCUUGCAGCCAGACUUGCCUGUAGUUGCUCAUCCGGGCUUUUGCCCGGUGCACUCUUCUGCGGGCAGGCCAGCAUCAGUUUGGGCGGUUGGAUAAAGGUCUCUGUCAUGUACCUCUCUUCGGGGAGGCCUUAUAGGGGAGACGACAUGCAACCAGCCCAGACUGAGGUCCGCGCAUUUGCUAGGAUGCUGGCGUAAUGGCUGU
Molecule: ribosomal RNA, 603 nt
Filed under: uncultured fungus
Lineage: Eukaryota; Fungi
Description: eukaryotic LSU rRNA
Rfam family: Eukaryotic large subunit ribosomal RNA
Source: RNAcentral